Molecule: ribosomal RNA, 967 nt
Filed under: uncultured Bacteroidota bacterium
Lineage: Bacteria; Pseudomonadati; Bacteroidota
Description: uncultured Bacteroidetes bacterium partial 16S ribosomal RNA
Source: RNAcentral
GAGUUUGAUCCUGGCUCAGGAUGAACGCUAGCGGCAGGCUUAAUACAUGCAAGUCGAGGGGCAGCAGCUUUAUAGCAAUAUAGAGGCUGGCGACCGGCAAACGGGUGCGGAACACGUACACAACCUUCCUUGAAUAGGGGGAUAGCCCAUAGAAAUGUGGAUUAAUACCCCGUAAUAUAGCGGUGUGGCAUCACACUGUUAUUAUAGUUUCGGCGAUUCGAGAUGGGUGUGCGGCUGAUUAGGUAGUUGGCGGGGUAAAGGCCCACCAAGCCUUCGAUCAGUAGCUGAUGUGAGAGCAUGAUCAGCCACACGGGCACUGAGACACGGGCCCGACUCCUACGGGAGGCAGCAGUAAGGAAUAUUGGUCAAUGGACGCAAGUCUGAACCAGCCAUGCCGCGUGAAGGAUGAAGGUCCUCUGGAUUGUAAACUUCUUUUAUAGGGGGCGAAAAAAGGUCUUUCUAGAUCACUUGACAGUACCCUAUGAAUAAGCACCGGCUAACUCCGUGCCAGCAGCCGCGGUAAUACGGAGGGUGCAAGCGUUAUCCGGAUUCACUGGGUUUAAAGGGUGCGUAGGCGGGUAGGUAAGUCAGAGGUGAAAUCCUGGAGCUUAACUCCAGAACUGCCUUUGAUACUAUCUAUCUUGAAUAUGGUGGAGGUAAGCGGAAUAUGUCAUGUAGCGGUGAAAUGCAUAGAUAUGACAUAGAACACCUAUUGCGAARGCAGCUUACUACGCCUAUAUUGACGCUGAGGCACGAAAGCGUGGGGAUCAAACAGGAUUAGAUACCCUGGUAGUCCACGCCCUAAACGAUGAUUACUCRACGUAUGCGAWAMACAGUAUKCGUCUGAGCGAAAGCAUUAAGUAAUCCACCUKGGGAAGUACRAMCGCAAAGGUURAAACUCAAAGGAAUUGGCGGGGGUYCCGCWCWGCRGUGGAARCAWGKGUUUAAUUCGAKAAUMUCSARGGAU